This 1208-nucleotide long non-coding RNA is filed under the name Lonchura striata (white-rumped munia). RNAcentral describes it as "domestica (Bengalese finch) lncRNA (ENSLSDG00000011272.1)". Lineage: Eukaryota; Metazoa; Chordata; Aves; Passeriformes; Estrildidae. The record is from RNAcentral.
UUCCUCGGGGGGCUGCCCCUCGCCUUCACCGGGCCCGACCGCGGCGCCAUCGACUGCCGGCAGAGCCUGCCCGCCCUGCCCCACAUCUGACCCACUGCGACCCACAUGCGACCCAUAGAGACCCACAGGGACCCACAGAGCCUGCCCGCCCUGCCCCACAUCUGACCCACGGCCGACCCAUAGAGACCCACAUCUGACUCACAGCUGACCCACAUCCAGAGGAGCUGCCCCACAUCUGACUCAUGGCCGACCCAUAGAGACCCACAUCUGACCCACAGCAGCCCGGCAUGCCCCACAUCUGACCCACAUCCAGAGGGGCUGCCCCACAUCUGACCCACAGAGGGGCUGGGGCUGACCCAUAGAGACCCUGCCCCACAUCUGACCCACAUCCAGAGGGCCUGGGGCUGCCCCACAUCUGACCCAGAGAGACCCUGCCCCACAUCUGACCCAUGGCCGACCCAUAGAGGGGCUGGGGCUGCCCCACAUCUGACCCACAUCUGACCCACGGCAGGGCUGCCCCACAGAGGGGCUGCCCCACGGCUGCCCCACACUGGGCCUGGGGCUGACACACAUCUGACCCACAGCAGGCUGACCCAGGGCAGGGCUGAGCCACAGUGGGGCUGCCCCACAUCUGACCCACAUCUGACCCACAGAGGGGCUGGGGCUGACCCACAGCUGACCCACAUCUGACCCACAGCAGGCUGACCCAGGGCAGGGCUGAGCCACAGUGGGGCUGCCCCACAUCUGACCCACAUCUGACCCACAGCAAGCCCAGGGCUGACCCACAGCAGCCCUGACCCACAUCUGAUCUUCUGCUGACCCACAGUGGGCCUGGGGCUGACCCAGGGCAGGGCUGACCCACAGCAGGGCUGACCCACAGUGGGGCUGCCCCACAUCGUGACCCACAGCGGGGCUGCCCUGCCCCACAUCUGCCCCACAUCUGCCCCACGGCCUCUGUGGGUCGGGGCACGAGCCGUGGGGCCGGGUCCCACCGCGGGCGCCGCUGCCGCCCCACGGGAGGGGACGUGGGGCCGGGGGGGGAGAAACGUGGGGUGGGGAGGGGGCGACUUGUGGGGCGGGACGUGGUGGGGGAGGGGGGGCAGAGCUUUGGGGGGGGGGGGGGGGUCCGCCCCCCACAUUUCCGGCCCCCCCCCGUUUUUAACCGUGCCUCAGUUUCUCUCUCUUCUCCCUGCUGCCGAGGUCCGAGC